This is a non-coding RNA of Xyrichtys novacula (pearly razorfish), 649 nucleotides long. NCBI's taxonomy places the organism in Eukaryota, Metazoa, Chordata, Actinopteri, Labriformes, Labridae. The record is from the annotation of a GenBank genome assembly.
UCCUCUGGCUUUGACAACAGCUCGGCAUAUACCAGACAUUCGUUCCACAAGUUUUCUAAGGUCUGUUCCAGGGAUUGCAUUCCAAGUGUAGUGGCUAAGCCCCAGCUUGAAGCCACUGAGGGGCUGCAGGACAGGCUAAACUUAACAACGCGCUGAGUACACUUACUGGCACGUCCAAUUAAUUCAAGUCCACUCCUUGUUCGCUUAAUGUGAUCUUUUAUUUCUCACAUUUUGUAGAAAUAUCAAGUCAACACCACAGCAAUGCAUCUUGAACGGAGAUAGCGGUACCAAAAGCAUAUCUUCUAGCGGUUGAAAAACUGUGCGCUCUUCCGUCCGGCAACACCUGCCCAGUGACCCAAAGUUCCCACCUUUAUGACAAAAAGAAAACACACCCACCACCCGCUGGCAUAAACUGGUAUUGCAGUGAGACAAAAAUGGCUCCUACACUAAGCUUUCUUAAGUUCAUUAAAAAGAGACUGCUGAUUCGUGGGACGCGUUUUUCUGACCGAUCGAUCCAAUUCAUCCCGCACAAGCUCAAUUGGAGAAAGGUCUGGAGACUGAGGGGGCCAAACCAUCUUUUGAAGAACACCUUCCUCUUCUUUUUUGUCUCGGUAACCCUGACAGAGCUCGGCAGAGUGCUUAGGGUCAU